Cytospora paraplurivora is the source of this 72-nucleotide non-coding RNA. The record is from the annotation of a GenBank genome assembly. Lineage: Eukaryota; Fungi; Ascomycota; Sordariomycetes; Diaporthales; Cytosporaceae.
GGGCGUCUAGCUCAGUGGUAGAGCGCCCGCUUCGCAUGCGGGAGGUCGUGGGUUCAAUUCCCCCGUUGUCCA